This 775-nucleotide ribosomal RNA is filed under the name Bacillus inaquosorum. RNAcentral describes it as "bacterial SSU rRNA". It matches the Rfam family "Bacterial small subunit ribosomal RNA", at positions 62 to 819 of the family's 1533-position model. The record is from RNAcentral. Lineage: Bacteria; Bacillati; Bacillota; Bacilli; Caryophanales; Bacillaceae.
UCGAGCGGACAGAUGGGAGCUUGCUCCCUGAUGUUAGCGGCGGACGGGUGAGUAACACGUGGGUAACCUGCCUGUAAGACUGGGAUAACUCCGGGAAACCGGGGCUAAUACCGGAUGGUUGUUUGAACCGCAUGGUUCAAACAUAAAAGGUGGCUUCGGCUACCACUUACAGAUGGACCCGCGGCGCAUUAGCUAGUUGGUGAGGUAACGGCUCACCAAGGCAACGAUGCGUAGCCGACCUGAGAGGGUGAUCGGCCACACUGGGACUGAGACACGGCCCAAACUCCUACGGGAGGCAGCAGUAGGGAAUCUUCCGCAAUGGACGAAAGUCUGACGGAGCAACGCCGCGUGAGUGAUGAAGGUUUUCGGAUCGUAAAGCUCUGUUGUUAGGGAAGAACAAGUACCGUUCGAAUAGGGCGGUACCUUGACGGUACCUAACCAGAAAGCCACGGCUAACUACGUGCCAGCAGCCGCGGUAAUACGUAGGUGGCAAGCGUUGUCCGGAAUUAUUGGGCGUAAAGGGCUCGCAGGCGGUUUCUUAAGUCUGAUGUGAAAGCCCCCGGCUCAACCGGGGAGGGUCAUUGGAAACUGGGGAACUUGAGUGCAGAAGAGGAGAGUGGAAUUCCACGUGUAGCGGUGAAAUGCGUAGAGAUGUGGAGGAACACCAGUGGCGAAGGCGACUCUCUGGUCUGUAACUGACGCUGAGGAGCGAAAGCGUGGGGAGCGAACAGGAUUAGAUACCCUGGUAGUCCACGCCGUAAACGAUGAGUGCUAA